RNAcentral lists this ribosomal RNA (547 nucleotides) under Klebsiella sp. HPC50. RNAcentral describes it as "bacterial SSU rRNA". It matches the Rfam family "Bacterial small subunit ribosomal RNA", at positions 34 to 573 of the family's 1533-position model. Lineage: Bacteria; Pseudomonadati; Pseudomonadota; Gammaproteobacteria; Enterobacterales; Enterobacteriaceae. The record is from RNAcentral.
CGCCGGCGGCAGGCCUAACACAUGCAAGUCGAGCGGUAGCACAGAGAGCUUGCUCUCGGGUGACGAGCGGCGGACGGGUGAGUAAUGUCUGGGAAACUGCCUGAUGGAGGGGGAUAACUACUGGAAACGGUAGCUAAUACCGCAUAACGUCGCAAGACCAAAGUGGGGGACCUUCGGGCCUCAUGCCAUCAGAUGUGCCCAGAUGGGAUUAGCUAGUAGGUGGGGUAACGGCUCACCUAGGCGACGAUCCCUAGCUGGUCUGAGAGGAUGACCAGCCACACUGGAACUGAGACACGGUCCAGACUCCUACGGGAGGCAGCAGUGGGGAAUAUUGCACAAUGGGCGCAAGCCUGAUGCAGCCAUGCCGCGUGUGUGAAGAAGGCCUUCGGGUUGUAAAGCACUUUCAGCGGGGAGGAAGGCGGUGAGGUUAAUAACCUCGUCGAUUGACGUUACCCGCAGAAGAGCACCGGCUAACUCCGUGCCAGCAGCCGCGGUAAUACGGAGGGUGCAAGCGUUAAUCGGAAUUACUGGGCGUAAAGCGCACGCA